UACGUAGGGGGCAAGCGUUGUCCGGAAUUAUUGGGCGUAAAGAGCGUGUAGGCGGCUUGGUAGGUCCGCUGUGAAAACUCGAGGCUCAACCUCGAGAUGUCGGCGGAAACCACUUGGCUAGAGUCCGGAAGAGGAGAGUGGAAUUCCUGGUGUAGCGGUGAAAUGCGCAGAUAUCAGGAAGAACACCGAUGGCGAAGGCAGGUCUCUGGGCCACUACUGACGCUGAGAAGCGAAAGCAUGGGGAGCGAACAGG
Molecule: ribosomal RNA, 253 nt
Filed under: uncultured bacterium
Lineage: Bacteria
Description: partial 16S ribosomal RNA
Rfam family: Bacterial small subunit ribosomal RNA
Source: RNAcentral